Molecule: ribosomal RNA, 468 nt
Filed under: uncultured bacterium
Lineage: Bacteria
Description: partial 16S ribosomal RNA
Rfam family: Bacterial small subunit ribosomal RNA
Source: RNAcentral
GACGAACGCUGGCGGCGUGCUUAACACAUGCAAGUCGAACGGAAAGGCCCUGCUUUUGUGGGGUGCUCGAGUGGCGAACGGGUGAGUAACACGUGAGUAACCUGCCCUUGACUUUGGGAUAACUUCAGGAAACUGGGGCUAAUACCGGAUAGGAGCUCCUGCUGCAUGGUGGGGGUUGGAAAGUUUCGGCGGUUGGGGAUGGACUCGCGGCUUAUCAGCUUGUUGGUGGGGUAGUGGCUUACCAAGGCUUUGACGGGUAGCCGGCCUGAGAGGGUGACCGGCCACAUUGGGACUGAGAUACGGCCCAGACUCCUACGGGAGGCAGCAGUGGGGAAUAUUGCACAAUGGGCGGAAGCCUGAUGCAGCAACGCCGCGUGCGGGAUGACGGCCUUCGGGUUGUAAACCGCUUUCGACUGUGACGAAGCGGGAGUGACGGUAAUGGGUAAAGAAGCACCGGCUAACUACGUG